Molecule: ribosomal RNA, 440 nt
Filed under: uncultured bacterium
Lineage: Bacteria
Description: partial 16S ribosomal RNA
Rfam family: Bacterial small subunit ribosomal RNA
Source: RNAcentral
CCUACGGGUGGCAGCAGUGGGGAAUAUUGCACAAUGGGGGAAACCCUGAUGCAGCGACGCCGCGUGAGUGAAGAAGUAAUUCGUUAUGUAAAGCUCUAUCAGCAGGGAAGAAAAUGACGGUACCUGAGUAAGAAGCCCCGGCUAACUACGUGCCAGCAGCCGCGGUAAUACGUAGGGGGCAAGCGUUAUCCGGAUUUACUGGGUGUAAAGGGAGCGUAGACGGCAGUGCAAGUCUGGAGUGAAAGGCGGGGGCUCAACCCCCGGACUGCUCUGGAAACUGUUUCCCUUGAGUGUCGGAGAGGUAAUCGGAAUUCCUUGUGUAGCGGUGAAAUGCGUAGAUAUAAGGAAGAACACCAGUGGCGAAGGCGGAUUACUGGACGAUAACUGACGGUGAGGCGCGAAAGCGUGGGGAGCAAACAGGAUUAGAUACCCGAGUAGUC